CGUGGGUAACCUGCCCAAGAGAUCGGGAUAACACCUGGAAACAGAUGCUAAUACCGGAUAACAACAGAUGAUGCCUAUCAACUGUUUAAAGGAUGGUUCUGCUAUCACUCUUGGAUGGACCUGCGGUGCAUUAGCUAGUUGGUAGGGUAACGGCCUACCAAGGCGAUGAUGCAUAGCCGAGUUGAGAGACUGAUCGGCCACAUUGGGACUGAGACACGGCCCAAACUCCUACGGGAGGCAGCAGGG
This 246-nucleotide ribosomal RNA is filed under the name uncultured Lactobacillus sp. Its description in RNAcentral is "partial 16S ribosomal RNA". It matches the Rfam family "Bacterial small subunit ribosomal RNA", at positions 116 to 354 of the family's 1533-position model. Lineage: Bacteria; Bacillati; Bacillota; Bacilli; Lactobacillales; Lactobacillaceae. The record is from RNAcentral.